UACUUAAGUCUCUCAGAGGGCUCUAC
RNAcentral lists this non-coding RNA (26 nucleotides) under Cricetulus griseus (Chinese hamster). Lineage: Eukaryota; Metazoa; Chordata; Mammalia; Rodentia; Cricetidae. The record is from RNAcentral.